CAUGUAGGAAAUUAAAAGUUGAACAAACUUCUUUUUUUUAACUUCUUCACCAAAAAAGAAUCCUAAUCCAACAUCGAGGUCGCAAACUAUUUUAUCUAUAUGAACUAUCCAAAAUUAUUACGCUGUUACCCCUAGAGUAUUUUUUUCAUUUAAUCGUUAAAAACGGAACUAAUUUAAACUUUAAAAAAAGAUAUUUAUUCUUUUUCCAUCACCCCAAUUAAAUUUUUUAAUAAUUAAAAUAUAUUAUUUAAAAAAUUAAAAAUUCAUAGGGUCUUCUUGUCCCUAAUUUUAAUUUUUGCUUUCGCACUAAAAAAUUAAAUUCAAUUAUUUAAUAAAAGAAAGUCUUUAAUUGUUAAAUCAUUCUCUUAGCACUCAUUUAAAAUCUUAUUUCAAUACCUUCGUAUAGUCAAAAUACCACAGCAAUUUAAAAAUUCAUUGAGCAGAUUAUACAUUUUAUUAUUUUCAAAAUGAAAUGUUUUUGU
RNAcentral lists this ribosomal RNA (482 nucleotides) under Ixodes minor. RNAcentral's name for it is "partial 16S ribosomal RNA". The record is from RNAcentral. Lineage: Eukaryota; Metazoa; Arthropoda; Arachnida; Ixodida; Ixodidae.